Molecule: non-coding RNA, 21 nt
Filed under: Arabidopsis thaliana (thale cress)
Lineage: Eukaryota; Viridiplantae; Streptophyta; Magnoliopsida; Brassicales; Brassicaceae
Source: RNAcentral
CGAUUGAAUGAUCCGGUGAAG